CCUACGGGUGGCUGCAGUGAGGAAUAUUGGUCAAUGGGCGCGAGCCUGAACCAGCCAAGUCGCGUGAGGGAUGACUGCCCUACGGGUCGUAAACCUCUUUUGCCGGGGAGCAAGGGCCGGGACGUGUCCCGUCCCGGAGAGUACCCGGAGAAAAAGCAUCGGCUAACUCCGUGCCAGCAGCCGCGGUAAUACGGAGGAUGCGAGCGUUAUCCGGAUUUAUUGGGUUUAAAGGGUGCGUAGGCGGGAUUUUAAGUCAGCGGUAAAAAUGCGGGGCUCAACCCCGUCCGGCCGUUGAAACUGGCGUCCUUGAGUGGGCGAGAAGUAGGCGGAAUGCGUGGUGUAGCGGUGAAAUGCAUAGAUAUCACGCAGAACCCCGAUUGCGAAGGCAGCCUUCCGGCGCCCUACUGACGCUGAGGCACGAAAGUGCGGGGAUCGAACAGGAUUAGAUACCCGGGUAGUC
RNAcentral lists this ribosomal RNA (460 nucleotides) under uncultured bacterium. RNAcentral describes it as "partial 16S ribosomal RNA". It matches the Rfam family "Bacterial small subunit ribosomal RNA", at positions 338 to 795 of the family's 1533-position model. The record is from RNAcentral.